Molecule: ribosomal RNA, 377 nt
Filed under: uncultured bacterium
Lineage: Bacteria
Description: bacterial SSU rRNA
Rfam family: Bacterial small subunit ribosomal RNA
Source: RNAcentral
UAAUACGGAGGGCGCAAGCGUUGUUCGGAAUUACUGGGCGUAAAGCGCGUGUAGGCGGCCUGACAAGUCGGGUGUGAAAUCCCGGAGCUCAACUCCGGAACUGCAUCCGAUACUGCCAGGCUCGAGUCUCGGAGAGGAUGGCGGAAUUUCCGGUGUAGAGGUGAAAUUCGUAGAUAUCGGAAGGAACACCAGUGGCGAAGGCGGCCAUCUGGACGAUGACUGACGCUGAGACGCGAAAGCGUGGGGAGCAAACAGGAUUAGAUACCCUGGUAGUCCACGCCGUAAACGUUGGGUGCUAGACGUCGGGGGUAUUGACCCCUUCGGUGUCGAAGCUAACGCAUUAAGCACCCCGCCUGGGGAGUACGGCCGCAAGGCUA